This 1495-nucleotide unclassified non-coding RNA is filed under the name Camponotus floridanus (Florida carpenter ant). Its description in RNAcentral is "probable uridine-cytidine kinase, transcript variant X3". Lineage: Eukaryota; Metazoa; Arthropoda; Insecta; Hymenoptera; Formicidae. The record is from RNAcentral.
GUGAUUCGUGAUUACAUGAGUGCGUUUCGGAGUGCAGUCAUUGAAUGACGUAUUAUUUGACUUUACGGCAAACGUGGUACAAAGAUAAAGUUGAUAAAAUUGAUUGAAAAUUAUUGUUUAUUCAUACCAAGAAUAAAGAUCUGAAGCGAACAAUUCGCGAAUUAAAAUAAGGAUUUUUAACAUUUGUUUUGGGUACUCGCGUACCCUUUUAUUGACAGAAAAGAGGUACUCUUUUUGUACAAUACACGUGGCCGGCUAUCGUCAAAUUGUCUUUCAUCAGUCUCCUUUCGACAAAAAUCGUUUUCCGAAACGUUAUUUUGUUUUGUUAAUCUGAAUUCUUCUCUCGAGAGCAAAGUGUUUUGUUGGCGAGAAUUUAUUUCCAACAAAAUCAACUUGGUCAUCUCUGCGUGCUUAACAAUGGCAGAUAUAUCAACGAAUAUGGGUAUCACGCGAAAAAUGUCCUUCGGUAUCAAUAGUAAAUUCAAUGGCAUCGAGAGUAAGACGCCUUUUUUGAUAGGCGUUUCUGGUGGCACUGCAAGUGGAAAAUCCACAGUAUGCAAGCGUAUAAUGGAGAAAUUGGGACAAGUAGAUAUGGAUCACCAGCAGCGUCGAGUAGUCUGUAUAUCACAAGACAGUUUUUAUCGUAACCUAACACCUACUGAGAAAUUGAAAGCUGAGAAAGGACAAUACAAUUUUGAUCAUCCUGAUGCGUUUGAUGAUGAUUUAAUCUUACAAACACUACAGGAUAUACUUGCUGGAGUCAAGUGUGAAAUACCAGCUUAUGACUAUAGAACAAACAGUUUAAUGAAAGAUCAAGUUACCACGAUAUAUCCUGCUGAUGUAGUGCUAUUUGAAGGAAUAUUGGUAUUUUACUUCCCCAAAAUUCGUGAUUUAUUUCACAUGAAAUUAUUUGUAGAUACUGAUUCUGAUACUAGGCUUGCAAGGAGAGUGCCAAGAGACAUAAAGGAACGUGGAAGGGAUUUGGAUUAUGUCCUAAAUCAGUAUAUGAACUUUGUAAAACCAGCUUUUGAAGAAUUCUGCUUACCAACAAAAAAAUUUGCAGAUGUUAUAAUACCAAGAGGAGCAGAUAAUACAGUGGCAAUAGAUCUAAUAGUGCACCACAUCUGGGAUAUUUUGCGUUUGAAAAAGGCCGAAAACUCAACCGGGCAGCAUCCAUUCUUCUACCAGCAUAGGCGUACCUCGGCCUCAUCCGACACACUCAGCAGAUGACUUAAGCAUGAUAAGCUCACUCUGUCAGGCACUGCAUUUUUUUCUACACACCAUACCCUUAUUGGCGAUAGAUCUGAUUGUGCAGCAUAUAAGAGACUUCUUAAGCAACUGUGGUAGAGAAAUGUCGGAGCCUGAAAGUCCAAUAAACAGGAUAGAGGGAUUGUUCAAGAGGCCACAUUAAUUUUUUUAAUUUUAACAUUUCACAGAAAUUUGCUGAGCUAAUCGUGUUUUGCUUCUUUUCUUUUGUGUAUAUAUUAUGGAUUUU